GUUUGAACGUUUUAUUUAGUUAAUUUUUUUCACAAAAAAGCCAUGACAGAAAAGAAAAGAAAGCUAACAUCCUAACAUCCUAACAAUGAAAACGUGGGAAGUUUUGAAAGUAAGUACUUCCCAAUCUCUAACUUACUUAAAAUUGUUUUCAAAUUCUAUCACAAAUUUUGCUUCCAAGUCCACCAAAAGGUUUCUCUUUUGUUUCUUCAUAUGCCUUGAAUAAAACAUAGCAAUUGUGUACUGCUGUUUAGCUCUUGCUUGAUCAAUGCAUUCUGAUAGGAAUGCUUCAGAAAGCACUUCUUCAGCAGAUAACCUGUGACAUAUGUUACUGCAUUCAUCCAGAUGAUGUUACUUUCCAGGUAGGAUUUGUAGUCGGUGACAUCAACUUCCAUAGGAGCUGCGGCUGGUCUUUCUGCGACAUCCCAUGCAGGUGGCUUUGAUGCUUUCUGGAAGUUAGACCCAGCCAGUAGAAUUGCAUCUAGAUCCUCUGUGCAGUUUCCACUUGAAAGGACU
Non-coding RNA from Paramuricea clavata, 513 nucleotides. NCBI's taxonomy places the organism in Eukaryota, Metazoa, Cnidaria, Anthozoa, Malacalcyonacea, Plexauridae. The record is from the annotation of a GenBank genome assembly.